Molecule: long non-coding RNA, 8096 nt
Filed under: Olea europaea (common olive)
Lineage: Eukaryota; Viridiplantae; Streptophyta; Magnoliopsida; Lamiales; Oleaceae
Description: long non-coding RNA (OEUR_LNC007309)
Source: RNAcentral
UUUGUUCACAGAGAUGCAACCAUUCUCAUUGUCUUUCCAUAACGAGGGAGAUUUUUAGAUGUCUUUCCUUGAAGAGCAAAACUUUUCUAUAUUAAUAUGGUCUAUUACUUAAUUUUCCAACAAUUGUUACAUAUUUAGUUUGCUUGAAUUGAAUAUUUUAUGUUCGAUACUUGCACAUAGAAGAUAUUCGUCGAAAGAAUCAAUCUUUGACUUUGAGACUUAGUUUUCACUGUUAUUCGAUAUGUUUAAUUGCUUUUCUGCUUUCUGUUUACUUCAUAUUUGGGUCGCUCAUGAAGGUGUUCUUUUCCUGCAAGUAUCUUAUAUUUUCCCUUUUUUACCCCCACCAACUACUGACUAAGCCAAAUUCUCUAUAAAUUUAGGGUCAAUUACAUGAAUUCUUUUUCACUGUUCCGUUCUAUCAUUUGCUACAUCUACUACAAGAUUCAAAGCAAGUAUAUCUUAGCAAAAUAAUUCAUUUUUCUUGUUCUGUUGACAGCUCUCUCUUUUGUUAUCAUUUCCUGUUUCAAGGCUCUAUUGAAUGACAACUUCCUAGUUCAUAGUAAGAUGCAGGGAUAAUCCCAGGCUACAAAUGGGAUGCAGAAGAAUCAGACUACAUGCAUUAAAUGUCGGAACAGGAUCUGGUGGCUAUGGCGAGAGGUAGAACAGUGACAACGAGGGUUACUCUAAUGAUGGACCACAUAGUAAAACCUCAUCUAAAAUAAUGGUUAUCUUAAAUUUUGCUCAUUUUUUAAUAAAAAACUCAAUUAUGACUUAUUUUCUGGAGAAAAAUUUUAUUAUUUGUAUUUAUGUGAUUAUGAACACGCCAUAAUAUUUAAUACGAGUCGAUUUUUAUUUUACUCAUUUUAUCAAUCAUUUAAUUUUUACCUGCUCAGAUUGCAUGUCCAAAUUCAUGCAUGGAAGUGACAAUUCAAGCAUUCUCAUUCACACUUAACAUUCCUUUUCAAAAUUCCCACUUUACGAUGAUGCAAUCAGGAAACAACUAUAAGUCUAAUCAAGCGGAAAGAAUACAAAGAAGUAGAGUUUGAAUUCAUCUAGAUUUUAGUAGUUUUAUUUUUAUGAGUUUGAUAUUAUCAAUGUUAUCUUUUAUUACAAGUUUGUUUAGAUUGGAAGUUUAAUUGGUUUGAAAGUCUUUUCUCUGUAUAAAGGGACUUAGGGAAAGGUUUACAGAAAUUCUUGAAUAUAAGAAUUAAUUGAAUUUCUUCUCUUUUUUGAUUCCCUUUCUCUUCUUGUUUAUUUUCAAAUUGUAGCCUUCCUACAUCAUAUACGGGCUCUACAUUGCUUUCAAUGCUAAACUGAUGAGGACAUCCUUAUAAUUGGACUUUUAUUAUUGUUUCAGUAUUUUAGUUGGACUUUUAUUAUUGUUUCAGUUGGACUUUUAUUUAGGUUUACGUAUUUUAAUUAGGACUUAAACAAUGGGCUUGGCCCUAUAUUUCUAGGUUUUCAUUAUUUACCUAUCAUUGGUUUGUAAUUUCUCAGUUGAUGAAUUGAUUAAGAAUUAUAAAGUUGGCUUGACCGUUUUCUCUCCUCCUCCCCGUUUCUGCCUUCUUCUUCUCUUCUCCUCCCCCUUCCCUUCUUGUUAUUUACUAAUUUAUUAAUCUCCCUACAUCAAAUUGGUAUCAGAGCAAAUCCUGGACAGCAAUUCACGCAGCAUCAAUACAGAAACCGUUGCUGCAGCCAAUACCCAGUUUGCUGCAGAACCCAGUCACUACCUCUAUCUUCUCUGCGUAUGUUCCUGUCAACAAACUCACCCUACAGUCGCUGCAAACUCAACGUGACACCCAUCCGUCGCCGACCACCAUAUUAUCUCCGUUAAAAUCAACAACCUAAACCCAAAUCUCCUUCACCAUGCCAACCGUAACAGCCCAUACAUACACAACCCCCAAACCGACCUCAACUGGUGCCAGCAAUCGCGUCGCCAUACUUAGAAAUCAAACAAGCCCAUACGCAGUAAGUUCUAAGCCGACCCAAAAUCAUCAGUCUUCUUCCCGGCACCAUCUCGAGCCACGCUAGUCACACCUAAAAUCAACAGUCGAUCUUGAGCCUUUCUAACCAUCAACAAACCUAAUAGUAAUAGCUAACUCAGCCACCACCCCUAAAAUCCAGCAGUGCCGCCUCUCGCUCGGUAACCAUCUCUUGGUCGUUUGACGGGAAAGAGGCCAGGCAUCUUUCAGUUUCACCAAUAGUUUCCAAUUUGGGCUUUUCAAUUGGGCUGUGGCUUAGUAUUUUGGCAUUUGUCUUGUGAGAUUGAUUUUCAGUUUUGGGCUCAGCCUUAGUUACUUCUUUGGGCCUAGUAAAAAAGUCCAAAAAAAAAAAAAAAAAGAGUAUCGUGAAUUUUAAUUUUUCUGACAUCAUUUACAGGUUCAUUUUAGUUGACUGUUCAGUACCGCACCUCGACGAGCACGGAAUUUUUAUCUUGGCAUCUCAGGGCUUAGUAGUUCAGAGCGUGGAGGCAUUCGACGCUGGGACGACUCAAACCAACAGUACUCAGGGAGUUCCUGAUCCUAUUUAUUUUUAGUUGACGCUAUUUCUUUAUUUUAGAAUUGCAUCAAUUAAUUCGUUGUGUGCUGGCCAUUUGAUAAUAUUGCCUUCAACCUAUUUGAUUGUAUUUCACGAACUAAAUUCCAUUGAUAUGCACUAGCCCUUUGAUAAUACUGCCUUAAACUUAUUCGAUUAUAUUUCACGAACUAAAUUCCAUUACUCAAUCGUUUACCCCACGUGACUAGACCUAGUUUUUGGACAUUUGCUUUUCUAUUUUAUUAGCAUUAGUAGUAUUAGCUUGCGAUCGAGCCAUAAGUAACCCCAACCUUUAAAUUGACAAAAUAACAAAAAAUAAAUAAAUAAUAAUAAUAAUAAUAAUUUCAAUAACUAAUUUUUCGGUUGGCACUAGUUGAUUGUUGAUUAUUGAUCUCAGUAGUGCACUUUACGUAGUCGUGUGACCGUGUAUGCAAUUGCGUAGUGGUCGCGUUACUGCCUCUAGCUCUAGUAACCUUACCAUGGACCCCGCCCAAAUUGAGGCCCUCACCAGACAGCUUGCACAAUUACAAAAUCAACUAACACCUGUCCAAACUGAGGUAGCCGCUACUCGUGAAGAGAAUAGAGCCCUAACCGCUAGGUUGAAUACUCUUGACCCAAUCCGAUAUUCGACUGAGGCUGAGAACUCUGAGGCUUCCAUUAAUAGGCCUCAUCGUCGCCCACAAGGUGGUCGACACCACGCCCGACAUGGUCGUAGGGACGGGAAUCAGGCUCGGGAACGAGAGCGGGGUAUUAUCGUCAUGGUACACAAUCUCCCCCUCGCCACGAGGAGCGCCUCUUUCGAAACAUUAAGUUGGAUGCCCCUACGUUUGACGGUUGUCUAGAUCCUAGUGCAUUCAAUCAAUGGGUUAGAGAUAUGGAUCGCUUCUUUGCAUGGUAUGGGGUCCCGGAAGAUCGGAGGGUACAAUUUUCCAGUUUGAAGUUAACUGGCACUGCUCAGCUCUUUUGGGAGAGUGUUGAGGAUCUCCUUGAAAGGCUUUAUGCUCCCCCUGUUGGGAGCUGGGAUGAAAUGAAGCGCCGCCUUCAAGAAAAAUAUUUACCCCAAUCUUAUAGGGGUAACUUGCUGGAUCAAUGGAACGCACUUACACAAGGAAAUCGACCUGUGACUGAAUAUGUUGCUCAGUUUGACGAGUUUCGAAUGAAAUGUCAGGUUGUUGAGGAUGAAGUUAUGACUUUGAGUAGGUUUAGGCAAGGUUUAAGAGACGAACUUAGGCGCGAGCUUGUCCUUAGGGGUGUCACCACUCUCGACCACGCCUACUCUUUCGUUCGGGAUUAUGAAUUAGUGACUAGGACACCGUAUAGAAAUCGUAGUGACUCCCGCACUACAACCUCAUCUGCAUCCACGCCAUCCCCUAAGUCUAUUCUAGGUCCUCCUCCCUCUAAUACUACCCCUGCAUCGGAUAGCAAAGGUAGAGGUUCUGAGGUUUCAAGGACAUCUUCCCGUUUGCAAUGCUUCAACUGUAAGGGUUUUGGUCACAUUGCUUCUAAGUGCCCUAGUUGAGCCCUAGUCCUGGACGAAUGUGAGGAUAUAGUCGUCGAACCACUAGAGGAUCAGGUUUAUGAGCCUAAGUUAGAAGAGUUUGAAGACUUGGAGGACAGUGAGGAUACCUUCUUAGGUUGUAUUCAGGCUAGUCCCAUUAUCCCAUAUACACCCAGAGUCGGUGUCGUCCGUUGCACCCUCACCCAGCCGAAGGAUGCCGACGAUUGGCGCCGUCAUGCCAUCUUCCACACCUACAUCAAGAUUAAUAACAAGGGCUGUAAAGUUAUCGUGGAUAGUGGCAGCUGUAUUAAUGCGGUUUCGAAGGCUACUAUAUCCCGUCUAGGGUUGAAGCCAGUUCCUCACCCCCAACCUUAUAGUGUCUCUUGGGUUGACACCUCCUCUAUAGCUGUUAAGGAGCGUUGUUUAGUCCCUAUCCAGUUCCUGGAGUAUAAGGACCAUAUAUGGUGUGACGUUAUUUCGAUGGACGUCGGGCACAUCAUCUUAGGACGGCCUUGGCUAUUUGACCUAGAUGUAAUCAUAUAUGGUCGAUCCAAUUCCUGCUCUUUCGUGUUUAAUGGAAAGAAGAUUCACCUUAACCCACUACCCCCAAAGCCGGCUAGCUCACUAGAAGCGAAGAAAAGUGUGGAACAAAAGGGGUUGCAUAUCAUUAGUCCUACAGAGUUUGAGCGUACAAUUGUUGGUGACUCAAUUGUGUUCGCCUUAGUAGUCAUGGAGUUUUCAUCUAACUCCACAAGUGAGGCUACUGCGGAAGUCCAAUCGAUCCUUCAGGAGUUUCGAGAUGUCUUUCCGGAGGACCUACCUGAUCAUCUACCUCCGCUAAGAGAUAUUCAACAUGCCAUAGAUUUCGUCCCCAGUGCAUCCCUUCCAAAUUUGCCACAUUAUAGGAUGAAUCCUACCGAGCACGCUGAGCUCCAAAGGCAAGUGGAUGACCUUCUCAACAAAGGAUUCAUUCGUGAGAGUUUAAGCCCAUGUGCUGUCCCCGCCCUAUUGACGCCCAAAAAGGAUGGAUCUUGGAGAAUGUGUGUGGAUAGUCGCGCUAUCAAUAGGAUCACGGUGAAGUAUCGUUUUCCCAUUCCAAGGCUUGAUGAUAUGCUGGAUAUGAUGGUUGGCGCGACAAUCUUUUCAAAGAUCGAUCUAAAGAGUGGGUACCAUCAAAUUAGAAUUCGCCCAGGGGACGAGUGGAAGACCGCAUUUAAGACGAAGGAUGGCCUUUAUGAAUGGCUGGUCAUGCCUUUUGGGCUAANNNNNNNNNNNNNNNNNNNNNNNNNNNNNNNNNNNNNNNNNNNNNNNNNNNNNNNNNNNNNNNNNNNNNNNNNNNNNNNNNNNNNNNNNNNNNNNNNNNNNNNAGUUCACGCGGGAGGGUUAGCCGGUCACUUUGGGCGUGAUAAGACCAUUGAGGAGGUUGAACGCCAAUUCUAUUGGCCUAGUUUAAAGAGAGAUGUAGCUAAAAUUGUUAGUACAUGUAACACUUGUCAAUUGGCCAAACAGAAGAAGCAGAACACAGGCCUAUACAUUCCUCUCCCCGUCCCCAAUUGUCCUUGGCAAGACGUUAGUAUGGAUUUUGUGCUAAGCCUUCCACGCACCCCAAAGAAGCAUGAUUCUAUUUUCGUGGUUGUCGAUCGUUUCUCGAAAAUGGCUCACUUUAUCCCCUGUAGCAAAACAUCGGAUACGUCCAAGGUUGCCAUGUUAUUCUUUAAUGAGAUUGUCAAACUGUAUGGGCUUCCCAAGACCAUCGUGUCCGAUAGGGAUGUUCGCUUCACUAGCCAUUUUUGGAGGACUUUGUGGCAUAAGAUGGGUACCAAAUUAAAAUUUUCUACAGCCUACCACCGUCAAACUGACGGUCAGACCGAAGUUGUUAAUCGGAGUCUUGGUAACUUAUUACGUUGUCUGGUCCGGGAGAACCUUCGAAAUUGGGAUUUAAUCCUUCCUGUCGCUCAAAUCGCGUAUAAUAGCUCCGUAAAUCGUUCAUUAGGUAUGAGUCCAUUUGAAGCCGUUCACGGAUACAAGCCUAAGAAACCAUUAGAUCUCAUCCCUAUGUCCCCACAGGCUAGAGUGUCAGUAUCAGCCGAAGCAUUCGCACAACACCUUCAUGAUUUGCACAUUGAGAUCAAUAAACAACUUGAAGCUAGUAAUGCAAAUUAUAAACUACAAGCCGAUUUACAUAAACGACAUAUUGAGUUUAAUGUUGGGGAUUACGUUAUGGUUCGCAUUAGGCCAAAGCGGCGUCUACAUGGACCCGCCUCCGAAUUGCAGGCUCGUAGUGCUGGUCCUUUUAAAAUUUUAAAGCAAGUUGGUCCAAAUGCAUAUAUUGUUGACAUUCCAUCCCACAUUGGUUACCACCAUACUUUCAAUGUUGAAAACCUUGUAGCUUAUAAAGGCCAUUUCAUUCCCUCAGAUGAUCCCCUGUUACCUCCUUUUGUGGACCUUGAUCCUAAUUCUUUGGCCCCCUCUAACCCACUACCACCUCUCACAGCACACACAGAUAAAAUUGAUGCUCUUUUAGAUGAAGAAACUGUGUUCACUAAUGAUGGAGAGGUUCAGCGCUUCCUUGUUCGUUGGGUUGGUCACCCAAAUUCUGAUUGUGCAUGGAUCUCCAGGGAGACGCUACAGCAUUUGGAUCCAAAUUUGCUAGAGCUUUAUCGGAGUCAGCAGGAUCUUCCUUGGCCCAGAUCGCCUCCCGUCCACCCGAGGGGAGUUGAUGAGGACACCAGGUUCAGACCGCCACUGACGCAUUUCUACCGACGCCGGAAGAAACUUGCCCAACCACUCAGCUUAUGGUUGGGAGAUUGACGAGAAUCUACGAUGAUAUAUCCACUCGACAGAGUCGAGUUUUCUCCCACCCCGGGCGAGUUGAUGAGGACAUCCUUAUAGUUGGACUUUUAUUAUUGUUUCAGUAUUUUAGUUGGACUUUUAUUAUUGUUUCAGUUGGACUUUUAUUUAGGUUUACGUAUUUUAAUUAGGACUUAAACAAUGGGCUUGGCCCUAUAUUUCUAGGUUUUCAUUAUUUAAACCUAUCAUUGGUUUGUAAUUUCUCAGUUGAUGAAUUGAUUAAGAAUUAUAAAGUUGGCUUGGCCGUUUUCUCUCCUCCUCCCCGUUUCUGCCUUCUUCUUCUCUUCUCCUCCCCCUUCCCUUCUUGUUAUUUACUGAUUUAUUAAUCUCCCUACAUCAUAAACACAACUGAAAAUGUUUAUUUGUUGAAAAACAUUAAGUAGUCACUUAAGCUUAUCUUCUGAUUUCUUUAAUAGAAGUGUGGGAGACAUUGUAUAUCUUAUUGUCUGUGGGAAUGAAAUGUUUAGUUUUCUUAUGAUUUCUCUUUUCUAGCUUUCUUGCUGGUAAAGUAGGAAAAAAACGUAGUACAAAUAUUGGCAAGAACCAGAACUGGAAAAGCUUAUUCAAAUUCUCAAUUUUCGUGAAUGGCAGCGAGACAUCACCUGCUCAAAUUCCAUAUCCUCUCUCUCUCUCUCUCUCUCUCUCUCUCUCUCAUGCUAUGCAGAUGAACUUCAAUAUUUUUGGACAUUGUAUUCAUGAAAAAAAUUUCAUUACUCUUACCAUCAAUUGUAAAGUCUGGCUUCACUUCUGCAUUUUCUUUGAUAUUUUGUUUCUGAGAUUGGGGCAAGGUAAGCUAUUUCCAAUAACACAAGAUCCGGUGUUUCUUUUCUUCUUUUUAGCACAUGUAUACUAGCACUAAACAAGUUUCUGCCAUCUCUGUAUAUUUGCUUGUCCUCGUAUGCAUACAUAUAUGAUUUUUAUUUCCUUUAGCUCAUUGUUUAUAUUUGACAGUUCUUUUAUCUAUUUAUUUUUUUAUUUCCGGUUCCCAUUUUCCUCGUACUUGAAAUCAGUAAUAGUAAAUGCUGUAAUCAAGUCUGCAAUUUUGCAUAAACUGAAAUUCACCUCUUUUUAGUUUUCUUCUCAUAAGAAGAUAUCUAUUCAGAAGACAAGAUAUACUGAGGUGACUACUGCUUAUUACCGCUAAAUUUGUGGUCAGCUAAAUGAGUCCUUUCCAUUGCAACAUUUACUAGAUGAUCUUUAGCGACCACGACAG